UGCUUCUGAAAAGAGAAGAUAGGAGCUAAUGGAAAUGUUUCAUACUGGCAACUGUUGACUGUGUUCCGGAUUCUGUAAAAGCAGUAGUAUGAUUUGUGUUGAUAAGUUCUCUUUUGUUUGUAGGUAUGAUGGAAAUAAAGUUUUUGGUUAUAGAUUGCACAGGGAAGUAAAAAGGAUUCUGACUCAAUCAAAGACAAAGGGGAAAGCAUGUUUAACACAUACCAACUCCGUUCUCACUGGGAAAUACAUGCAGUGGAUUUCCAAGGAAUUCCAUGAAGUUGUGGUCAUUUCACAAUAUUUGUUUGUUCUCGACAUGAAAAUGCUAUGUAACUUUUUCUUUCUUUCUGUAAACACCAGAUAAACUGUUGUCUAGCAAGAUUGUGGCGGAAGUUGCUAUUGGCAAGACUAUCAAUAAUGAUCUCAUUCCUAUUUUGCAGAAAUUUCAAAAGAAUAAAGAAAGGGCACUGAACCCGAAGAAAAGGCAAGAGAUGCUCCUGAAUAGCUUGAGAAAUUCCUCUGGUACUAGGAUUACCCGCACAUUUCCGCAGUCGUAGGCUUGUCAGUUACACUUUUGAUGAAUAUGAUUGUGCUAUUGACGAGGCUAUAGAAGUAACAAAGUAA
Hibiscus syriacus is the source of this 621-nucleotide long non-coding RNA. RefSeq lists it as uncharacterized. NCBI's taxonomy places the organism in Eukaryota, Viridiplantae, Streptophyta, Magnoliopsida, Malvales, Malvaceae. The record is from RefSeq and is a predicted model, not a curated record. The transcript has 3 exons.